RNAcentral lists this ribosomal RNA (360 nucleotides) under uncultured bacterium. RNAcentral's name for it is "partial 16S ribosomal RNA". It matches the Rfam family "Bacterial small subunit ribosomal RNA", at positions 338 to 696 of the family's 1533-position model. The record is from RNAcentral.
CCUACGGGAGGCAGCAGUGAGGAAUAUUGGUCAAUGGCCGAGAGGCUGAACCAGCCAAGUCGUGUGAGGGAUGACGGCCCUACGGGUUGUAAACCUCUUUUGUCGGGGAGCAAAGCGAGGCACGUGUGACUCAUUGAGAGUACCCGAAGAAUAAGCAUCGGCUAACUCCGUGCCCGCAGCCGCGGUAAUACGGAGGAUGGGAGCGUUAUCCGGAAUUAUUGGGUUUAAAGGGUGCGCAGGCGGAGGUGAAAGUCAGCGAUCAAAUUGCGGGGCUCAACCCCGUACUGCGGUUGAAACUGCAUCCCUAGAGUGCGCGAGAAGUAUGCGGAAUGCGUGGUGUAGCGGUGAAAUGCAUAGAUA